Molecule: long non-coding RNA, 762 nt
Filed under: Panax ginseng (ginseng)
Lineage: Eukaryota; Viridiplantae; Streptophyta; Magnoliopsida; Apiales; Araliaceae
Description: long non-coding RNA (PGIN_LNC018689)
Source: RNAcentral
CUAAUAUAUUUUAUAUGAAUCCAUAUAGAUAUUCUUCUUCUCCUGAUUCUUGGUUAUUGGGUUUCGUACAGAAGCAUAGAAGAGGAUUUGGGUUUUGGGCAAUGGCUUGUUUUGUCUCUACAUGUAUGUUUUUUCUCUAUCAAUAGCUGAUUUUUGCUGCAAACUUCCUUUGGGGUUUUCUGUUCGAACCUCUGCUUUUAUUGGUUUUGAGAUUUUGAGCAUUCAAAAAAAUAGUAAUAAUAAUUUAAAAGAUUUUUUUUUUGUUUGCAUGUAUUAUUUUCUUUUUAGUUGUCCAAUGUUUUUGCCUUCUCCUUUCAUGGUCCUGGAAUAAAUAGUAAUAACUAACAGAAAGAAUUGGAACAUUCAUUUUUGGGUAUUGGCUUCAAACUGUUAAUAAUUAAAUUAUUAUUUACUAGUUUAUGCUUUUAUUUGAUUUAGUUGUUGAAACAAAUGGGAAAGACUGGGAUUUGUGUUUUUUUUUUGCAAAGGAAUGGUAAUGCCUGAUUCUGCACUCAUAAAUAAAGACCAGGUUUUUAAUGUGUACCAUUUUGCUUUGUGUGUGAAUGUUUCUAUAUUUUCAUCAAUUUUUCUAUAAAUGUUAUUAUAUUCUUUUUUAUAAUUUGGGUAAUCUUGCUGACAUAAUUUUUUUUGCCCUGUUUCUGGACUUUCAGUACAGAAUAGGCAUAAAUCUGUUGAGCGUAAUGAGUAAAGACUAGAAAGCUGAAGAUUGUGUUUGAAUGCUGAAUCUGGUGAAGGAUAUUG